This is a long non-coding RNA of Mesocricetus auratus (golden hamster), 1383 nucleotides long. RefSeq lists it as uncharacterized. The transcript has 4 exons. The record is from RefSeq and is a predicted model, not a curated record. Lineage: Eukaryota; Metazoa; Chordata; Mammalia; Rodentia; Cricetidae.
AAGUAGAUCAUUGGUGGGAAGGUCUAAAGGGAGAUCGUUGGUGGGAAGGUCUAAAGGGAGAUCGUUGGUGGAAAGGUCUAAAGGGAGAUGAUCAUUGGUGGGAAGGUCUAAAGGGAGAUCGUUGGUGAGAAGGUCUAAAGGGAGAUCGUUGGUCUUCUAAAUUAGCAAGACCAGAGUGCUGGUUUCUAAGGACUUGCUCAGCUGGUUUGCUACUUUGAGAAAGUCACCCAAUCCUCAUCUACUAAGACCAUAACAAUAUGUUGUCAUGGAAAUGAGGAUCCCUGAGAGAUAACAAUAGAUCUGGACACCAGGAGUUCUUCAGCUGUCCUAGCUACUGGAGAGGAUCAUUUGAGCCAGGUGGAGAGCCUGAACCAAACAUGGUAAAUGUGAUCCUCACUCUUCAUCAAGGGAACUUCUCUUUUCAGUGAAGACCAUUGUUAGAAAUCCACAAGCAAUCAAAAUGCAGAGAUGUGGAGCCCAGUCCCAGUUGGUACAUCUACAGAACACUUCUGCACUUAAGAAUAGUGAGGAAAAGGGGACAGAAAACAACUAAAAACCAAAGGACCAGGCAGUUUCCGCGAGACCAUGUCUCCUAGCAAUGUGUGAUCUAUGCCCAUGAAGUCACCAGCAUGACUGCCUAAACAAGAGCUAAACACGGACAGCAAUCAUAGACGUGCCAAAGUAGACAGGGAAAUCCCAUGAGCACUCAACCCUACACAAUAAUUACAGUUAGCUAAGGAAUUCUGAAAGCAGGGGAAAUGGCCUCACCUAGGGAAGAACACACAGGUUGGUUAUCUAACACCGCAUGGUCAGUCCUGAAGGCAGACAUAUGAGUAACAUUAUACAGAUUCAGCUGGUUAUAUUCAGUAAUAUAUACAUAUAUGCAUGUACAUAUAUAUAUGUAUAUAUAUGCUUGUCACAGUAAUUAAUGAAAUGAGAUCAUUAAUAUGAGAACAAAGAGAAGCAUUUGGGAGAGUUUGAAGGGAGGAAGGGGAAGAGAAAAAUGACAUGAUUACAUUUUAACCUCAAAAAUAAACAAACAAAAUACUGAGGAUGGCCUCAGAGCCAUGGCUUGCUGCUCCUGUUGUUUGACUCUCCACCCAGAUAAAUGCAAGUUCAGUCCCUUCUUUCAAGUCAUACCUCAAAUGUGACAUUGUCGCAGAGGCCUUCUCCUGCUAUUUGUUUGUUAUUGAGAUGGAUCUCACUAUGAUUCCCACAGUAAAAUCUAAUUCAUGGGCCCAAGUGAUGCUCCUACUUCAGGUCUCCCAAGUAGCUGGAGCUAGAGAUUCCAUCUACCUCACCUUGCUGUCAUUUACCCUAAAUAAAAUGACGCUUCCUGAGCUGGGAAGAUGGUUCAAUGAUUAAAACCACUGGCUGCUCAUC